Dermacentor silvarum is the source of this 681-nucleotide long non-coding RNA. RefSeq lists it as uncharacterized. The transcript is spliced from 3 exons. Lineage: Eukaryota; Metazoa; Arthropoda; Arachnida; Ixodida; Ixodidae. The record is from RefSeq and is a predicted model, not a curated record.
CGCUAGCCCAAGACAAGCAUGCACGUUGCGCGGGAGCGGCCGCAUACAAGAAUUCGCGGUGAGAACGUCGUCGACCGCAUUACCGCCAACCCACAAAGGACUGCGAUCUCAAGGCCUUGCUCCUUCAGCUGUAGCGCGACGUGAGCCCUGCCAUUUCACUUUCAAGAUACGUAAGCUGCUUCGACCCUGAAAAUGCCGACGCAAUGGUGCAUCUGAACAGCCAAUGGAUACCAUGCCCACUCUGUAACGACCAGUGCUUUUAAUGAAACAGCACAGCAGAAUAGUCAACCACGUGAGGCACCUCAGACAGCAUAUGCAGUGGGUUGUGACGGAUUUAAUGAUUUCAUCAGCAUUUUCACUGGAUGCAAGGCUGUGAAUCUCUUGUAUGAUGCAUGUGUGGAAAAGAAACCCAACAUCCGGUGCACAUGCCUGCUUGAAACAGUCGGGCAUAUCCCAUUAGUUGAGUGCCCCCGUGUCGGCAUUUGCUGAUGUGAUCCCAGCUAUCUUCACCCAUUACAUUCUGCUGAAUUUACUGCAGCCACCCUUUGGAAAAAUAACACAUGGCAAUUAUUUCAAGGUAAUUAGUUCUCCCAUACAGAAAAAAUACCAUUAGCAGUACUCGUGGGUGAUAAUCUGCCAGUUUGCAAUGGUGGCGAGCAUAAAUACCACUAGCUGUAGUAA